ACCGAGCCUUGUAACGAGGGCUUGUAGCUCAAGUGGGGCAACAAUGUGGUGGAAUGUUGGGUUGUUCCUGAUGGCUGGGCUUUGGUGGGCUAAUGUCUGGUCUGCCCUAUCCAAGCACCGAGUUGAGUCAUGUGGUCCAAACGAAAGUUUGGGCUACUUGGCUCCUAGAGUGGGGCGGAAUGCGUGAGGCUGGUUUCACAGAGCAACGAACAGUCUCCGCUCCGUGCAGUGGAAGGAUAAUGGAUCAGUGCUCUCCAAGUUCAAUAAAAAACUAAUGGACAAUCUAAUUAGACCACCACUUUU
RNAcentral lists this signal recognition particle RNA (303 nucleotides) under Solanum lycopersicum (tomato). RNAcentral's name for it is "Plant signal recognition particle RNA". It matches the Rfam family "Plant signal recognition particle RNA". Lineage: Eukaryota; Viridiplantae; Streptophyta; Magnoliopsida; Solanales; Solanaceae. The record is from Rfam by way of RNAcentral.